AGGCAACAUAGUUUUGUCCCUUACGGUCAUCUCUCUCUCGCCCCCCUCUCUCCGUGACUUCUCUCCUCCCUUGUAUAUAGCGCAUCCUCUGGUAAUGCGUUUUCCGGCGACUUCACGGAUAGACAAGGCGACGCUUCGGCGUCUGUGGACCUCGUUGCCCCAUGAACAAUUGGACAAGAACUUCUGGGUUGCGCUGGAGGCCUUCUGUGAACCGUUCCUGGACUCGUGCUCCCCUUUCAAUCACCAAACCUUCUUCUCGGUGCCCCGGACGGGCCGCAUCUUGCAGGAAGAGCUCACGCUGGUGGACCAAGCUAUUGUGAAGGCGUGCAAUGAGCAGCGUCCCUUCUAUAACGCCUUCACUCUAUGGAACCCGCUCGCGCUGGCGGCGCUAUUUAAAGUGCCGAUCGAGGUGGUGACGGCGCAACUGCUCCUCGCGGUGCAGCAGUCGUGGAUGUCCGUCUACUUUGUCAUCACUUGCCGGUCGUGCGGCUGCGACGUUGCGCACUUCCGCUCCGUCAACGAUAUCUCCUUCGUUGGCACAUUUCACUCGACGAACGCAUUUCGCUGCCCGAUGUGCACCGAUCGCACUGAGGUUAAUGAGCUGAGGAACGUCGCCGUGUUCUUCCAGCUGGGGCGGCUGCCUGCGCUCUUUCAGCGCCGGUACCACCGCCUUUACUACACCGAAGAGGCGGGUCGGCGACGUCUGGAGUCUUUCUUCUGCCCAGCGCAGGCCGGCUUCGCGUUCAGGGCACACCUGCCGAAUGGACGCUAUCUCCUGUCAGCACCAUUUUGUGGCGCCUUUGUCGAGUUCUCGGUGGAUCUCUCCGCGCAGGCGAUUGGAGAGAAGGCCCCCUAUCUGUCGCAUAUUGUAGACUUGAAGGCCUACAUCCGUUUUCAGAACAGCUCUGCGGAUCCCUUCGGGCAGCCCAUCAAGCGGUGCAGCACCACCGCCCCCGCGCUGCCGCGUCGUGGGAUGAGGGCUAGCGCGGUCAGCGAUGCGCUGCAUCGCGUGUCCAUCGGAUGCAUCUCGCAGUUGUCCCUCUCGGAUGCCAUUCACCCCGAGGAAGCCGCCAAUUCUGUCACUGGUUUCGGGGCCGAGAACACCGAGGAGAUCCCGCGAGUCCCAGUGGUCAGCUUAAAACACGGCAAGGUGCAGUUCCGUAUUUACAAUGACACUCCCCACAGCGGGUUUCUCGACCUAUUCGUUGCUUUCGACACGCGCAUCGAGUUUUCCGCUAACCCGUACCCGCAACUCUUCCAGGUUCCACACUUUAUGCACUGCCUGCCGCGUGGCAUGCGCUCCUCCUUCUUCACCGAGUGCAUUCCGAGGCCGCCGUCGACGACACCAACGACCGGCGCAUAUGUGCGCCACCAGUUUGCCUUGCGCCGCGAGCAGGCCGACGACCCUAACAUCAUUUCGGUGCUGCGCGAGGUGCACCGGUACUCUCUCGAGGACCACUACGGCCUGCUCAUCGGCGUCGGCGACGGUGGCGCCUCUUUUGAGAGUACUUUUCUCUCUACCACAGCUGCCUUGGCGAGCAGCAUCUGCUUCUUCCAGCGUGUGCUGACGCGCCUAGGUGAACCGGUCGCCCUCGCCAUGCGGUGCAGCGUCACAGAGGGCCCGCUGAAGAUUGCCGCCUACCAAGGCCAGUACAACGACACUGACAAUACCCGAUCAAGCUACCCAGACGCGCAGUUUGUCGGCUCCGUCGUUUACGCGAGCAACCACCCGCCCAUCACCGGCCCGUACUUGUACUGCACGGAGGUCGAGCCGCCUAAAACCGCAGUCGUUGAGACAAACGACGACGGAACGGGCAAGAAGGUUAUGGCGAGGCGGCUUGGUGCGCUCGACAAGUACCGUAGUCCUGCGUGGCUUCGCGACGAGAACAGCUCUUACUACGACCUCAGUGCUCCCUACGGCAGCCAUGCCACCAACAAGACGGCGGCCGGCGAGACUUCGCAGCAGGAGCGGCAGUGUCUUAUUCGUUUUGAGGUGCGCUGUGUGCCGUCGCUGAUCAACGACGAGACGGAGAUGUCGUCACGCCGCGCUUCGGCCUGCCCUCGGUUGACGCUACAGGAGGAUGGCAGCGACUCAACAGACGCCAUAUUGCCCUACUUCUUGGAGUUCUUGCGCGAGCACUUUGAGGGGGCAUCCGUGAAGGAGGAGGCACACGCCCUCGUGGUGCAGAUACCGCUACCCAUGAUCUACGCUGCAUUGCAGAUAUCCAGGAUUCUGGACAAGAAUGCUUACACCAAGGAGCUACGGGGCCCGUUCUAGGAAAAAAAAAGAGUGCCCAAGCGGGCCCGGGGUCUGCGGCGUAUCUACCCUUCGGUGCGUGAUGUGGGUCGCAGCAGACUUCUCCGUUUAGUCUUCGCUCUCUGAGCAACGGUGCGCUGGUUUUGGCGUGAAAGAAACCUUGGUGAGAAGCUCACAGGAGGCUUUUGGUGUACACGCAAAGGAACAAAAAGGUGCACACAAGCGAAUUGUGCUGAGGGCACAGGAUCAGCCGACACCUGCGCAUCUCGCCCCCUUCCCCCUCUCCUCCUUUCCCACUCGCGCGUCUGCGUGAUGCUUGUGUAGUUUUUCGUUUCGACGUCCCCUUCAUGUACACUACGGUUAGGAGCACCUGCUGCUUGUAUUCUUGUUGUUCCGUCCUUUCUAUUUUUUUUUGUGUGUAAUCGGUCUCUUGGAGCGCUGUCUUCCACACCUCUUGCCCCUUUGAGAGGCGGUCACUUGCUUGACACCAGCACGCCUUGAAGGUUCCAUGGAGACGAUGGUGUUUCACAGGUCCGUGGGUCUACAUACAUCUCUUAUGCUGUCAAGCGUUGCUGCUGAUCUGCGUGAGCUGCGCUG
This 2854-nucleotide unclassified non-coding RNA is filed under the name Leishmania donovani. RNAcentral describes it as "gene:LdHU3.35.3790(CDS-product:hypothetical_prote in_conserved)". The record is from RNAcentral. Lineage: Eukaryota; Euglenozoa; Kinetoplastea; Trypanosomatida; Trypanosomatidae.